This 585-nucleotide ribosomal RNA is filed under the name uncultured bacterium. RNAcentral describes it as "partial 16S ribosomal RNA". It matches the Rfam family "Bacterial small subunit ribosomal RNA", at positions 355 to 1375 of the family's 1533-position model. The record is from RNAcentral.
UGGGGAAUUUUGGACAAUGGGCGAAAGCCUGAUCCAGCAAUGCCGCGUGUGUGAAGAAGGCCUUCGGGUUGUAAAGCACUUUUGUCCGGAAAGAAAUCCUCUGGGUUAAUACCUCGGGGGGAUGACGGUACCGGAAGAAUAAGCACCGGCUAACUACGUGCCAGCAGCCGCGGUAAUACGUAGGGUGCAAGCGUUAAUCGGAAUUACUGGGCGUAAAGCGUGCGCAGGCGGUUUUGUAAGACGGAUGUGAAAUCCCCGGGCUUAACCUGGGAACUGCAUUCGUGACUGCAAGGCUAGAGUAUGGCAGAGGGGGGUAGAGUUCCACGUGUAGCAGUGAAAUGCGUAGAGAUGUGGAGGAAUACCGAUGGCGAAGGCAGCCCCCUGGGCCAAUACUGACGCUCAUGCACGAAAGCGUGGGGAGCAAACAGGAUUAGAUACCCUGGUAGUCCACGCCCUAAACGAUGUCAACUAGUUGUUGGGGAUUCAUUUCCUUAGUAACGUAGCUAACGCGUGAAGUUGACCGCCUGGGGAGUACGGUCGCAAGAUUAAAACUCAAAUGAAUUGACGGGGUCAUAGCUGUUUCCU